This 487-nucleotide ribosomal RNA is filed under the name uncultured bacterium. Its description in RNAcentral is "bacterial SSU rRNA". It matches the Rfam family "Bacterial small subunit ribosomal RNA", at positions 501 to 987 of the family's 1533-position model. The record is from RNAcentral.
CUACGUGCCAGCAGCCGCGGUAAUACGUAGGUGGCAAGCGUUGUCCGGAAUUAUUGGGCGUAAAGCGCGCGCAGGCGGAUAGGUCAGUCUGUCUUAAAAGUUCGGGGCUUAACCCCGUGAUGGGAUGGAAACUGCCAAUCUAGAGUAUCGGAGAGGAAAGUGGAAUUCCUAGUGUAGCGGUGAAAUGCGUAGAUAUUAGGAAGAACACCAGUGGCGAAGGCGACUUUCUGGACGAAAACUGACGCUGAGGCGCGAAAGCCAGGGGAGCGAACGGGAUUAGAUACCCCGGUAGUCCUGGCCGUAAACGAUGGGUACUAGGUGUAGGAGGUAUCGACCCCUUCUGUGCCGGAGUUAACGCAAUAAGUACCCCGCCUGGGGAGUACGACCGCAAGGUUGAAACUCAAAGGAAUUGACGGGGGCCCGCACAAGCGGUGGAGUAUGUGGUUUAAUUCGACGCAACGCGAAGAACCUUACCAGGUCUUGACGU